UACGUAGGGGGGCAAGCGUUGUCCGGAUUUAUUGGGCGUAAAGAGCGUGUAGGCGGCCACACAGGUCUGCUGUGAAAACUCGAGGCUCAACCUCGAGACGUCGGUUGAAACCGUAUGGCUAGAGUCCGGAAGAGGAGAGUGGAAUUCCCGGUGUAGCGGUGAAAUGCGCAGAUAUCGGGAAGAACACCCGUGGCGAAGGCGGCUCUCUGGGACGGUACUGACGCUGAGACGCGAAAGCGUGGGGAGCGAACAGG
RNAcentral lists this ribosomal RNA (254 nucleotides) under uncultured bacterium. RNAcentral's name for it is "partial 16S ribosomal RNA". It matches the Rfam family "Bacterial small subunit ribosomal RNA", at positions 524 to 776 of the family's 1533-position model. The record is from RNAcentral.